GUACUUGCUUCGGCAGUACAUAUACUAAAAUUGGAACGAUACAGAGAAGAUUAGCAUGGCCCCUGCGCAAGGAUGACACCCUGUAUUGCUGAGCACUUUAAUAUUUGA
Molecule: small nuclear RNA, 108 nt
Filed under: Stegodyphus mimosarum
Lineage: Eukaryota; Metazoa; Arthropoda; Arachnida; Araneae; Eresidae
Source: RNAcentral